AGUGAACGCUGGCGGUAGGCCUAACACAUGCAAGUCGAACGGCAGCACAGUAAGAGCUUGCUCUUACGGGUGGCGAGUGGCGGACGGGUGAGGAAUACAUCGGAAUCUACUUUUUCGUGGGGGAUAACGUAGGGAAACUUACGCUAAUACCGCAUACGACCUACGGGUGAAAGCAGGGGAUCUUCGGACCUUGCGCGAUUGAAUGAGCCGAUGUCGGAUUAGCUAGUUGGCGGGGUAAAGGCCCACCAAGGCGACGAUCCGUAGCUGGUCUGAGAGGAUGAUCAGCAAACCUGAACCUGAGACCCGGCCCAGCCCCCUAGGGGAGGCAGCAGUGGGAAUAUUGGACAAUGGGCGCAAGCCUGAUCCAGCCAUACCGCGUGGGUGAAGAAGGCCUUCGGGUUGUAAAGCCCUUUUGUUGGGAAAGAAAAGCAGCAGGUUAAUACCCCGCUGUUCUGACGGUACCCAAAGAAUAAGCACCGGCUAACUUCGUG
Molecule: ribosomal RNA, 491 nt
Filed under: uncultured bacterium
Lineage: Bacteria
Description: partial 16S ribosomal RNA
Rfam family: Bacterial small subunit ribosomal RNA
Source: RNAcentral